CACGUAGGGCGCAAGCGUUGUCCGGAAUUAUUGGGCGUAAAGAGCGUGUAGGCGGCUUGGUAGGUCCGCUGUGAAAACUCGAGGCUCAACCUCGAGAUGUCGGCGGAAACCACUUGGCUAGAGUCCGGAAGAGGAGAGUGGAAUUCCCGGUGUAGCGGUGAAAUGCGCAGAUAUCGGGAGGAACACCGGUGGCGAAGGCGGAUCUCUGGGCCAUUACUGACGCUGAGGAGCGAAAGCGUGGGGAGCGAACAGG
This 253-nucleotide ribosomal RNA is filed under the name uncultured bacterium. RNAcentral describes it as "partial 16S ribosomal RNA". It matches the Rfam family "Bacterial small subunit ribosomal RNA", at positions 524 to 776 of the family's 1533-position model. The record is from RNAcentral.